Molecule: ribosomal RNA, 468 nt
Filed under: uncultured bacterium
Lineage: Bacteria
Description: partial 16S ribosomal RNA
Rfam family: Bacterial small subunit ribosomal RNA
Source: RNAcentral
GACGAACGCUGGCGGCGUGCUUAAUACAUGCAAGUCGAACGGAAAGGCCCUGCGUUUGUGGGGUGCUCGAGAGGCGAACGGGUGAGUAACACGUGAGUAACCUCCCCUUGACAUUGGGAUAACUCCAGGAAACUGGGGCUAAUACACGAUAGGAGCUCCUGCUGCAUGGUGGUGGUUGGAAAGUUUCGGCGGUUGGGGAUGGACUCGCAGCUUAUCAGCUUGUUGGUGGGGUAGUGGCUUACCAAGGCUUUGACGGGUAGGCGGCAUGAGAGAGUGACCGGCCUCAUUAGGACUGAGGUAGGGACCAGACUCCUACAGGCGGCAGUAGUAGAAAAUAUUGCACAAUGGGCGGAAGCCUGAUAAAGAGACGCCGCGGCCGUAAUGAUGUCCUUCGAGGUAUAAACAGCUUUCGCCUGUGACAUAGCUUGAGUGACGGUAAUGGGUAAAGAAGCAACGGCUAACUACGUG